This 2904-nucleotide ribosomal RNA is filed under the name Escherichia coli. RNAcentral's name for it is "23S ribosomal RNA". It matches the Rfam family "Bacterial large subunit ribosomal RNA". The record is from RNAcentral. Lineage: Bacteria; Pseudomonadati; Pseudomonadota; Gammaproteobacteria; Enterobacterales; Enterobacteriaceae.
GGUUAAGCGACUAAGCGUACACGGUGGAUGCCCUGGCAGUCAGAGGCGAUGAAGGACGUGCUAAUCUGCGAUAAGCGUCGGUAAGGUGAUAUGAACCGUUAUAACCGGCGAUUUCCGAAUGGGGAAACCCAGUGUGAUUCGUCACACUAUCAUUAACUGAAUCCAUAGGUUAAUGAGGCGAACCGGGGGAACUGAAACAUCUAAGUACCCCGAGGAAAAGAAAUCAACCGAGAUUCCCCCAGUAGCGGCGAGCGAACGGGGAGCAGCCCAGAGCCUGAAUCAGUGUGUGUGUUAGUGGAAGCGUCUGGAAAGGCGCGCGAUACAGGGUGACAGCCCCGUACACAAAAAUGCACAUACUGUGAGCUCGAUGAGUAGGGCGGGACACGUGGUAUCCUGUCUGAAUAUGGGGGGACCAUCCUCCAAGGCUAAAUACUCCUGACUGACCGAUAGUGAACCAGUACCGUGAGGGAAAGGCGAAAAGAACCCCGGCGAGGGGAGUGAAAAAGAACCUGAAACCGUGUACGUACAAGCAGUGGGAGCACGCUUAGGCGUGUGACUGCGUACCUUUUGUAUAAUGGGUCAGCGACUUAUAUUCUGUAGCAAGGUUAACCGAAUAGGGGAGCCGAAGGGAAACCGAGUCUUAACUGGGCGUUAAGUUGCAGGGUAUAGACCCGAAACCCGGUGAUCUAGCCAUGGGCAGGUUGAAGGUUGGGUAACACUAACUGGAGGACCGAACCGACUAAUGUUGAAAAAUUAGCGGAUGACUUGUGGCUGGGGGUGAAAGGCCAAUCAAACCGGGAGAUAGCUGGUUCUCCCCGAAAGCUAUUUAGGUAGCGCCUCGUGAAUUCAUCUCCGGGGGUAGAGCACUGUUUCGGCAAGGGGGUCAUCCCGACUUACCAACCCGAUGCAAACUGCGAAUACCGGAGAAUGUUAUCACGGGAGACACACGGCGGGUGCUAACGUCCGUCGUGAAGAGGGAAACAACCCAGACCGCCAGCUAAGGUCCCAAAGUCAUGGUUAAGUGGGAAACGAUGUGGGAAGGCCCAGACAGCCAGGAUGUUGGCUUAGAAGCAGCCAUCAUUUAAAGAAAGCGUAAUAGCUCACUGGUCGAGUCGGCCUGCGCGGAAGAUGUAACGGGGCUAAACCAUGCACCGAAGCUGCGGCAGCGACGCUUAUGCGUUGUUGGGUAGGGGAGCGUUCUGUAAGCCUGCGAAGGUGUGCUGUGAGGCAUGCUGGAGGUAUCAGAAGUGCGAAUGCUGACAUAAGUAACGAUAAAGCGGGUGAAAAGCCCGCUCGCCGGAAGACCAAGGGUUCCUGUCCAACGUUAAUCGGGGCAGGGUGAGUCGACCCCUAAGGCGAGGCCGAAAGGCGUAGUCGAUGGGAAACAGGUUAAUAUUCCUGUACUUGGUGUUACUGCGAAGGGGGGACGGAGAAGGCUAUGUUGGCCGGGCGACGGUUGUCCCGGUUUAAGCGUGUAGGCUGGUUUUCCAGGCAAAUCCGGAAAAUCAAGGCUGAGGCGUGAUGACGAGGCACUACGGUGCUGAAGCAACAAAUGCCCUGCUUCCAGGAAAAGCCUCUAAGCAUCAGGUAACAUCAAAUCGUACCCCAAACCGACACAGGUGGUCAGGUAGAGAAUACCAAGGCGCUUGAGAGAACUCGGGUGAAGGAACUAGGCAAAAUGGUGCCGUAACUUCGGGAGAAGGCACGCUGAUAUGUAGGUGAAGCGACUUGCUCGUGGAGCUGAAAUCAGUCGAAGAUACCAGCUGGCUGCAACUGUUUAUUAAAAACACAGCACUGUGCAAACACGAAAGUGGACGUAUACGGUGUGACGCCUGCCCGGUGCCGGAAGGUUAAUUGAUGGGGUCAGCGCAAGCGAAGCUCUUGAUCGAAGCCCCGGUAAACGGCGGCCGUAACUAUAACGGUCCUAAGGUAGCGAAAUUCCUUGUCGGGUAAGUUCCGACCUGCACGAAUGGCGUAAUGAUGGCCAGGCUGUCUCCACCCGAGACUCAGUGAAAUUGAACUCGCUGUGAAGAUGCAGUGUACCCGCGGCAAGACGGAAAGACCCCGUGAACCUUUACUAUAGCUUGACACUGAACAUUGAGCCUUGAUGUGUAGGAUAGGUGGGAGGCUUUGAAGUGUGGACGCCAGUCUGCAUGGAGCCGACCUUGAAAUACCACCCUUUAAUGUUUGAUGUUCUAACGUUGACCCGUAAUCCGGGUUGCGGACAGUGUCUGGUGGGUAGUUUGACUGGGGCGGUCUCCUCCUAAAGAGUAACGGAGGAGCACGAAGGUUGGCUAAUCCUGGUCGGACAUCAGGAGGUUAGUGCAAUGGCAUAAGCCAGCUUGACUGCGAGCGUGACGGCGCGAGCAGGUGCGAAAGCAGGUCAUAGUGAUCCGGUGGUUCUGAAUGGAAGGGCCAUCGCUCAACGGAUAAAAGGUACUCCGGGGAUAACAGGCUGAUACCGCCCAAGAGUUCAUAUCGACGGCGGUGUUUGGCACCUCGAUGUCGGCUCAUCACAUCCUGGGGCUGAAGUAGGUCCCAAGGGUAUGGCUGUUCGCCAUUUAAAGUGGUACGCGAGCUGGGUUUAGAACGUCGUGAGACAGUUCGGUCCCUAUCUGCCGUGGGCGCUGGAGAACUGAGGGGGGCUGCUCCUAGUACGAGAGGACCGGAGUGGACGCAUCACUGGUGUUCGGGUUGUCAUGCCAAUGGCACUGCCCGGUAGCUAAAUGCGGAAGAGAUAAGUGCUGAAAGCAUCUAAGCACGAAACUUGCCCCGAGAUGAGUUCUCCCUGACUCCUUGAGAGUCCUGAAGGAACGUUGAAGACGACGACGUUGAUAGGCCGGGUGUGUAAGCGCAGCGAUGCGUUGAGCUAACCGGUACUAAUGAACCGUGAGGCUUAACCUU